CUGUUGUUCAUUCGCAACCUCCCGAGCUGGCCUCGAUCCAUGGCCUCUCCUUCCACCCAGAUCCGAUCCGUCACCGAUCGUCCGUGGCGCGAGCGCCGGGCCUCCUCCUCAAUCUCCUCGUUCUGCGCCGCCCCGAUUACACUGUGCACACGUGCUCCGGAGCCAUGGCCGCCUUUUGUCGAGCCGCGUGAUCGAUGUCCGACCGGCGCCGCGACCGGCCUCUUGCGCAGUUCCCGACCGUCGUCCCCUGUGCCUCCUCCCGCGUCUCCCCACCUCGCCUUUGCAGCACCGUUGUUGCACGUCUCCAGCGCCAUCUGCUGCAGCCCCGCAGUCAACCGCUUGCACGCCAUGGGCAGCGGCCAUGGACCAGUUCGACAAGACCAUGGUGCUUGCGGGCGGGAUGCCCCUCGCCGCCGGCAGGGCAGGGAAGAUGUGGGAGUCCCUGGGCACUCUUGUGUGACGCCUCUGCACUGCCUUUGAGGAGCACGAUGACUGCCUGGAGGCCAAGCUGUUUGAUGUGUCCGUCAGAAAUACAUUGAACGGACAAGUGCUGAACCGGUUCACUGACUAGCCUGAUUGAUUCAAUCCCCAUGUGCUUGUGUCAAUGCCUGCAAGGGAGCAAGCGUACUGGCGGGAUGGUUGGAAGGAGAGUAAUUUGCUACAAAGCUUAUUAUUUAUGGUUAUUUCCUGAAUCUCUGGUAUAAUAUACAAUACAUUAUGUAGAAACCAAAAUGAUGUUCAUAGAGAUCUCAGAAUUAGGUGAAUAUCAUUAUGCUUGUGUUAUCUUUUUCAUUUUAUGAUUUAGCACCAGUCGCCAACUAUGGUUACCGUGUGUGGCUUGAAUCCAAUAGCAUGUGAUUGAACAAAUGAACGAAAUAUAGGUGAAACAUUUAAUUUUUAGAAGAGAUGGGUGAUACGUACUUCCGUUCAAGUGUUCCCUAAAUUUUUUCAUAGUUUGCAUUGGGACACAGUAAUUGCUUAAAGCAUUUAUUUGACUGCAAUGUUGCUUGCCGGCAUCUCCGCCAUUCAUCUUGUCAUUGACAGAAACCCCAUCUUGUCACUGAUAGAACCCCAGGCUCUUCCACCUAUAGCAAACAAAUAAAAGGACUUGAUUUAUGGGCUUGUAAAUUGGUUGUAUCUACAUGGAAGGUUUAUGGAUUGUGAACCUUUUACUCCGUCUUAUCCUUAGGCUGCACAACAUUUACUUUAGCAAAGGUCUCUCUGUUGCUGAGAUUCUUAAAAAUGGAUGGGAGUCGGUGCAAAGUACAUGGACACAUUGGUGCGAUAUUUUAAAAUUGAGAAACAGCCUCCAAGCUACUUGUGAAGGUGUCAAUUUCUGCAUUGAUAAAGAUUCAAUUAUACUUCUGAUGGGAUUUUUUCUGUUAGCUGUCUCUACAAGAGAAUGAACUUGAGAAAUAUUAAUUUCUAGAUAAAUUUCUUUGGAAAGUGAAGCUUCCCCUGAAAAUUAAAGUUUUUCAUUGCUGGUUUUGAAAAAAUAAACAUACUAACUAAAGCCAAUUUAUUCAAAUGAUGUUUUCAGGGAGAUAAAACCUGUCAAUUACGUGGUAGAGAUUAGAUUAUUGGUGCAAAGGAAUCGGUAUUACAACAGAACUUGAAGCUGACGAGGAUGGUUGACGUUUGGUUUUGGUGGAAAGUCAGAUCAUUUCUCUAGCAUUCUGGCAAAUGGUAGUUUGCAGAUUGAUGAGUUGGUUCCAGUUCCUUUAGCAGGUACAUCACAUCUCAAUCAUAAUUCUGCCCCACUACCCAACAAAAAAAAAUACGACGGUGAUGUUCAUUGGUGCUUGGCCUCCAGAAGUGGGUUUGUCGGAUUUUCAUUUUCUUUGUAUAAUAAAUGUAAUACAUAACUCCUGGAGCCUAUGGAUUUUGGGGAGAUAGUGUAUGUACUGUAGGUUCAUUCUGUUUUCUCCUAAUGAAACUUGGGGUGUGUGCACAAUUACAGAAUUACCAAGGAGACAUUUUUCGGACAGAAAGAAAAUCUAAUAUUUGGUUUCCGUCCAUUUUCUACUUGCAUUAGCAUUAUAAAACACAAUGAAUGUCCCAGUGAUUAAUCACAAAUAAUGCCCCGGUCUAUCCAUAGUAGCAUAAUGGGCCAAUGCUAGAAUAAUUGACAAAUCUACAAUCUUUUUUUUUUGUAAUGGUGGUGUUAUUUCUGCUAGAAUGAUUGCAUUUUAUGUAAUAUUGCAAAUAUACUCUUGGUCGAUAGAAAUGAUAUCUCCCUGUUUGGUCUCAGUAGGAACAAAUGC
This 2264-nucleotide ribosomal RNA is filed under the name Triticum aestivum (bread wheat). RNAcentral's name for it is "partial small subunit ribosomal RNA". Lineage: Eukaryota; Viridiplantae; Streptophyta; Magnoliopsida; Poales; Poaceae. The record is from RNAcentral.